GGGGGCAGAGUAUAGCUCAGUGGUAGAGCGCAUGUUUGGCAUGCAUGAGGUCCUGGGUUCAAUCCCCAGUGCCUCCA
This is a non-coding RNA of Camelus dromedarius (Arabian camel), 77 nucleotides long. The record is from the annotation of a RefSeq genome assembly. NCBI's taxonomy places the organism in Eukaryota, Metazoa, Chordata, Mammalia, Artiodactyla, Camelidae.